This 599-nucleotide ribosomal RNA is filed under the name uncultured bacterium. RNAcentral describes it as "bacterial SSU rRNA". It matches the Rfam family "Bacterial small subunit ribosomal RNA", at positions 511 to 1107 of the family's 1533-position model. The record is from RNAcentral.
GCAGCCGCGGUAAUACGUAGGGUCCAAGCGUUAAUCGGAAUUUCUGGGCGUAAAGCGUGCGCAGGCGGUUGUGCAAGACCGAAGUGAAAUCCCCGAGCUUAACUUGGGAAUUGCAUUGGUGACUGCACGGCUAGAGUGUGACAGAGGGGGGUAGAAUUCCACGUGUAGCAGUGAAAUGCGUAGAGAUGUGGAGGAAUACCGAUGGCGAAGGCAGCCCCCUGGGAUAACACUGACGCUCAUGCACGAAAGCGUGGGGAGCAAACAGGAUUAGAUACCCUGGUAGUCCACGCCCUAAACGAUGUCAACUAGUUGUUGGGGAUUCAUUUCCUUAGUAACGUAGCUAACGCGUGAAGUUGACCGCCUGGGGAGUACGGUCGCAAGAUUAAAACUCAAAGGAAUUGACGGGGACCCGCACAAGCGGUGGAUGAUGUGGAUUAAUUCGAUGCAACGCGAAAAACCUUACCUACCCUUGGCAUGCCACUAACGAAGCAGAGAUGCAUUAGGUGCUCGAAAGAGAAAGUGGACACAGGUGCUGCAUGGCUGUCGUCAACUCGUGUCGUGAGAUGUUGGGUUAAGUCCCGCAACGAGCGCAACCCUUG